UUACAUUUUAUUUCAUAUCAUAUCACAAAUGGAUAAUCAAUUGAUUUCGAGAAAACGCGUAUAUGACGACUCAAUAGAGUUACAGAUCAAUUCCCCGGAGGUAAAAAGACUCCGGGAAGAUCUCUUAGACGAUUUAUACGAUUCGGAGUUUUGCACUCCGAAUCACGAUCUAGAUUCCUUCAUGAAGAGCUUCGAAAAUGAAAUUACAGCUUCAGAG
Molecule: unclassified non-coding RNA, 217 nt
Filed under: Hevea brasiliensis (rubber tree)
Lineage: Eukaryota; Viridiplantae; Streptophyta; Magnoliopsida; Malpighiales; Euphorbiaceae
Source: RNAcentral